GGCCGGGAACUCAAAGGAGACUGCCAGUGAUAAACUGGAGGAAGGUGGGGAUGACGUCAAGUCAUCAUGGCCCUUACGACCAGGGCUACACACGUGCUACAAUGGCAUAUACAAAGAGAAGCGACCUCGCGAGAGCAAGCGGACCUCAUAAAGUAUGUCGUAGUCCGGAUUGGAGUCUGCAACUCGACUCCAUGAAGUCGGAAUCGCUAGUAAUCGUAGAUCAGAAUGCUACGGUGAAUACGUUCCCGGGCCUUGUACACACCGCCCGUCACACCAUGGGAGUGGGUUGCAAAAGAAGUAGGUAGCUUAACCUUCGGGAGGGCGCUUACCACUUUGUGAUUCAUGACUGGGGUGAAGUCGUAACAAGGUAACCGUAGGGGAACCUGCGGUUGGAUCACCUCCUUA
Molecule: ribosomal RNA, 405 nt
Filed under: Klebsiella pneumoniae
Lineage: Bacteria; Pseudomonadati; Pseudomonadota; Gammaproteobacteria; Enterobacterales; Enterobacteriaceae
Also listed under: 31 other names
Description: bacterial SSU rRNA
Rfam family: Bacterial small subunit ribosomal RNA
Source: RNAcentral